Molecule: non-coding RNA, 105 nt
Organism: Cordylochernes scorpioides
Lineage: Eukaryota; Metazoa; Arthropoda; Arachnida; Pseudoscorpiones; Chernetidae
Source: the annotation of a GenBank genome assembly
AUGAAUUGAAAACACCGGUUCUUGUCCGAUCACCGAAGUUAAACAAUGUUGGACCCGGUCAGUACUUGGGAGGGUGACCACCUGGGAACACCUGGUGUAACUGUA